CGUAGCGAGAGAACGUUGCCGCAGGCAACGGCCCGAAGGGCGAGGCGCUUUAGCGCCGAGUCAUCCUUCCCCCACCACCA
This 80-nucleotide small RNA is filed under the name Klebsiella quasipneumoniae. Its description in RNAcentral is "partial RtT sRNA". It matches the Rfam family "RtT RNA", at positions 53 to 130 of the family's 130-position model. Rfam says of the family: This family represents a bacterial cis-regulatory element known as RtT RNA. The exact function of RtT is unknown although it is thought that it may be involved in changing the cellular response in relation to amino acid starvation. The record is from RNAcentral. Lineage: Bacteria; Pseudomonadati; Pseudomonadota; Gammaproteobacteria; Enterobacterales; Enterobacteriaceae.